This is a long non-coding RNA of Manacus vitellinus (golden-collared manakin), 440 nucleotides long. RefSeq lists it as uncharacterized. Lineage: Eukaryota; Metazoa; Chordata; Aves; Passeriformes; Pipridae. The transcript has 3 exons. The record is from RefSeq and is a predicted model, not a curated record.
UUGCUCCACAGACACUGGGUAAUUACUACCCUCCAGAUCUGAGGCUUUUCAAGGAUUUAUGGGGCUGGCAUGUGGAAAAAAAGGCAGACUGGGCAGGAUGGAGCAGGGUCUCAGCAGAGCUCCAGGCUGCAAACAGAGCUUGGCUCUGCAACCAGCUCCCGUCCUUUUGCUCUGGGAGCAAAUACUGUGAUCUCAUCACACCCACCCUGCAGUCCAACCAGCCUGGAAAACUCUGUCAUGGCUUCAAGCUGGUGCAUUCAAGGGAAUGAGUAUCUUUAUCUGACUCAUGGAAGUUUAAGAAUGCAUUGGAUAAAUGCAAGUUGAAUCGAGGUGAUUGUGCAUUAGUGCCCCUGGUUGUGAAUUCCCCUUCGUGUCUGAAGAAUAUCCAAAGGUGAUGGGAACAAGCCCAGCAAAGCCCUGAUGGAUCCUGCACCAGCCAC